CCAGGGUAAAGUUCCAGUUGUAAAGGAGCCCCUCACCCGGAGGGUGUGUUACACACCCUCGCAUUGUGCACGUUAGGCUAAGCAACUUUGGGAUAACAGUCAUCUCCUUAAAUGUGUGUCCUGCAGACGUAUCAGUGACUUCCAGGUCUUCGUUCUUUUUCUUCUGAACGAAGAGGAUAUGGAAUUGUUAAAUUCAAUAAACAGUGACAAGAAGCUGCUUCAUCUUCACCUAUCCAUUACAGAAAGGCUAGCACAAAACUGAGAUCAGCUUUUACACAAAAACCAGAUUCAUUAUUGUAAAGUAAAG
Molecule: long non-coding RNA, 307 nt
Organism: Nycticebus coucang (slow loris)
Lineage: Eukaryota; Metazoa; Chordata; Mammalia; Primates; Lorisidae
Exons: 3
Source: RefSeq, a predicted model, not a curated record